ACGCGAAGAACCUUACCUGGACUCGAAAUUUUGUUGACAGUCUCAGAGAUGAGAUCUUCCCGCAAGGGACAGCAGAAUAGGUGCUGCAUGGCUGUCGUCAGCUCGUGUCGUGAGAUGUUGGGUUAAGUCCCGCAACGAGCGCAACCCUCACCCUUAGUUGCUCGUCCGUAAGGAAAGCACCCUAAGGGAACUGCCUCGGAUAACGGGGAGGAAGGUGGGGAUGACGUCAAGUCCUCAUGGCCUUUAUGCCCAGGGCUACACACGUGCUACAAUGGUCGGUACAAACCGUCGCUUACCCGCGAGGGGAAGCCAAUCGGAAAAAACCGAUCUCAGUUCGGAUUGCAGGCUGCAACUCGCCUGCAUGAAGCUGGAAUCGCUAGUAAUCACGUAUCAGAACGACGUGGUGAAUACGUUCCCGGGCCUUGUA
This 427-nucleotide ribosomal RNA is filed under the name uncultured Acidobacterium sp. RNAcentral describes it as "bacterial SSU rRNA". It matches the Rfam family "Bacterial small subunit ribosomal RNA", at positions 959 to 1385 of the family's 1533-position model. The record is from RNAcentral. Lineage: Bacteria; Pseudomonadati; Acidobacteriota; Terriglobia; Terriglobales; Acidobacteriaceae.